ACGCUCGACACCUACGGGAGGCAGCAGUGGGGAAUAUUGCACAAUGGGGGAAACCCUGAUGCAGCGACGCCGCGUGGAGGAAGAAGGUCUUCGGAUUGUAAACUCCUGUUGUUGGGGAAAAGAGGAUGGUACCCAACAAGGAAGUGACGGCUAACUACGUGUCAGCAGCCGCGGUAAUCUGAGCGGGCUGGCAAGGC
Molecule: ribosomal RNA, 197 nt
Filed under: uncultured bacterium
Lineage: Bacteria
Description: partial 16S ribosomal RNA
Rfam family: Bacterial small subunit ribosomal RNA
Source: RNAcentral